AAAAAAUUAAUAAUAUAUACUGCUACUAAUACAUCAUAAAUGUUACCAGUCAAACAUUUUAUGAAAAAUGUUAACUCAUAUUUCUACAGCAAAUUCACUACUUCAAUCUGCAGUUAUACCACAUAAUUUUUACUGCAAGUUACAUCAAAUUCUAACAUGUAUUGCAACUCAAUUUUGAUAACUCGUGUUACGAGUCGGAUGUAAUUAGAAACUAGGGAAGAAUUGGUUUCAUAUCAUGAUCUGUGUGAAACACUGAUAAACAAAUUAAUUCAUUGAUAAAUAGGUUUAGGAGAAUUCAUGCAUUCGUUGAUUAAAAUUUAUUGAAUGUGUAUUACGGUGUACUAAUAUAGAAUUUUCUAUUUGUCAAAGUGUUUGCUAUACAAAUUGAAAGUUUUGGAAACAAACAAUUUUACACGUUAAUUAACUCAUGAUCAUCCAAUUAAUUAUAUAAAAUAAAUAGAUUUAUGUCUAAUAUAUU
Molecule: small RNA, 478 nt
Filed under: Arabidopsis thaliana (thale cress)
Lineage: Eukaryota; Viridiplantae; Streptophyta; Magnoliopsida; Brassicales; Brassicaceae
Description: ATSL102590
Source: RNAcentral